AAAGCCCGCAAGGGUGAGUAAAGUGGCGUACGGGUGAGUAACACGUGGGUGAUCUACCUUCUGGUGGGGAAUAACACUGGGAAACCGGUGCUAAUACCGCAUAAGCCCGAAAGGGGAAAGGAGCAAUUCGCCGGAAGAGGAGCCCGCGGCUGAUUAGCUAGUUGGCGGGGUAAUGGCCCACCAAGGCAAUGAUCGGUAUCCGGCCUGAGAGGGCGCACGGACACACUGGAACUGAAACACGGUCCAG
RNAcentral lists this ribosomal RNA (247 nucleotides) under uncultured bacterium. RNAcentral's name for it is "partial 16S ribosomal RNA". It matches the Rfam family "Bacterial small subunit ribosomal RNA", at positions 72 to 334 of the family's 1533-position model. The record is from RNAcentral.